Molecule: transfer RNA, 72 nt
Filed under: Ictidomys tridecemlineatus (thirteen-lined ground squirrel)
Lineage: Eukaryota; Metazoa; Chordata; Mammalia; Rodentia; Sciuridae
Description: Spermophilus tridecemlineatus (thirteen-lined ground squirrel) tRNA
Rfam family: tRNA
About the family: Transfer RNA (tRNA) molecules are approximately 80 nucleotides in length. Their secondary structure includes four short double-helical elements and three loops (D, anti-codon, and T loops).
Source: Rfam by way of RNAcentral
GAGGUUGUGGCUCAGUGGUAGAGCACUUGCCUAGCACAUGAGAGUCACUGGGUUUGAUCCCUGGCACCAUCU